AGCUCCAAUAGCGUAUAUUAAAGUUGUUGCAGUUAAAAAGCUCGUAGUUGGAUUUCUGGUGUGAGGGAACGGUCCGACCUCUGGUGGGUACUUGCUUCCUCUCACGCCAUCCUUGAGUGGUGCGUUCUGGCAUUCAGUUGUCGGGACGUUAGCCGCUCAUCGUUUACUGUGAGAAAAUUAGAGUGUUCAAAGCAGGCUUAUGCCGUUGAAUAUAUUAGCAUGGAAUAAUAAGAUAGGACUUCGGUACUAUUUUGUUGGUUUGCGCACCGAUGUAAUGAUCAAUAGGGACAGUUGGGGGUAUUCGUAUUCAGUUGUCAGAGGUGAAAUUCUUAGAUUUACGGAAGACGAACUACUGCGAAAGCAUUUACCAAGGAUGUUUUCAUUA
Molecule: ribosomal RNA, 385 nt
Filed under: Chaetoceros sp.
Lineage: Eukaryota; Bacillariophyta; Thalassiosirophyceae; Chaetocerotales; Chaetocerotaceae
Description: partial small subunit ribosomal RNA
Rfam family: Eukaryotic small subunit ribosomal RNA
Source: RNAcentral